AAGACGAGGGUCCUUGAACAACUGUGGGGUGUUUGUUUUGAUGUACGCAUUUUACAUUGUGGCAAGAGCCCAAUUUGAUUUCAAUGAGACAAACAUGCAGCAAAUUAGGCACUGGUGGUGCCUAUUCUCCUCAAAAACGUUCCCAUGCCGUCUGAACAAGAGAGGUCGCAAGACUGCAAGAGGCGACGGGAGGAAAAGGCAAUGCAGGUAGAAGUUGUUGAAUCACAAAUGAUAAAGUCUUGAACCAGUGUGAGUGUUAAACAUUUAACCUCUCUUUGUCAAAUAUAUUUCAGGAUGAAGAGGUUGUGAGGUUCCACAAAAGAAGCAGGCCAUCA
This is a long non-coding RNA of Gymnodraco acuticeps, 335 nucleotides long. RefSeq lists it as uncharacterized. The record is from RefSeq and is a predicted model, not a curated record. The transcript has 4 exons. NCBI's taxonomy places the organism in Eukaryota, Metazoa, Chordata, Actinopteri, Perciformes, Bathydraconidae.